UACGGAGGGUGCGAGCGUUAUCCGGAUUCACUGGGUUUAAAGGGUGCGUAGGUGGGAAUGUAAGUCAGUGGUGAAAUCUCUGAGCUUAACUCAGAAACUGCCAUUGAUACUAUGUUUCUUGAAUUAUCUGGAGGUCAGCGGAAUAUGUCAUGUAGCGGUGAAAUGCUUAGAUAUGACAUAGAACACCAAUUGCGAAGGCAGCUGGCUACAGGUGGAUUGACACUGAGGCAUGAAAGCGCGGGGAUCAAACAGG
Molecule: ribosomal RNA, 253 nt
Filed under: uncultured bacterium
Lineage: Bacteria
Description: partial 16S ribosomal RNA
Rfam family: Bacterial small subunit ribosomal RNA
Source: RNAcentral